Molecule: non-coding RNA, 93 nt
Organism: Xenopus tropicalis (tropical clawed frog)
Lineage: Eukaryota; Metazoa; Chordata; Amphibia; Anura; Pipidae
Source: Rfam
GCUCCAGUGGCGCAAUCGGUUAGCGCGCGGUACUUAUAUGACAGUAACUGAUGAGCAAUGCCGAGGUUGUGAGUUCAAGCCUCACCUGGAGCA